GAGGUUCUAGUUAAAUUAUAACCCUGCUUUGUCAAGGCAAACUUACAGGUUAGUCCCCUGUGUUCCUCC
This 69-nucleotide transfer RNA is filed under the name Sphenophryne schlaginhaufeni (Wandolleck's land frog). RNAcentral's name for it is "Liophryne schlaginhaufeni (Wandolleck's land frog) tRNA-Asp". Lineage: Eukaryota; Metazoa; Chordata; Amphibia; Anura; Microhylidae. The record is from RNAcentral.